Molecule: ribosomal RNA, 1435 nt
Filed under: Klebsiella sp. 80MoSuero
Lineage: Bacteria; Pseudomonadati; Pseudomonadota; Gammaproteobacteria; Enterobacterales; Enterobacteriaceae
Description: 16S ribosomal RNA
Rfam family: Bacterial small subunit ribosomal RNA
Source: RNAcentral
CUCAGAUUGAACGCUGGCGGCAGGCCUAACACAUGCAAGUCGAGCGGUAGCACAGAGAGCUUGCUCUCGGGUGACGAGCGGCGGACGGGUGAGUAAUGUCUGGGAAACUGCCUGAUGGAGGGGGAUAACUACUGGAAACGGUAGCUAAUACCGCAUAAUGUCGCAAGACCAAAGUGGGGGACCUUCGGGCCUCAUGCCAUCAGAUGUGCCCAGAUGGGAUUAGCUAGUAGGUGGGGUAACGGCUCACCUAGGCGACGAUCCCUAGCUGGUCUGAGAGGAUGACCAGCCACACUGGAACUGAGACACGGUCCAGACUCCUACGGGAGGCAGCAGUGGGGAAUAUUGCACAAUGGGCGCAAGCCUGAUGCAGCCAUGCCGCGUGUGUGAAGAAGGCCUUCGGGUUGUAAAGCACUUUCAGCGGGGAGGAAGGCGUUAAGGUUAAUAACCUCAUCGAUUGACGUUACCCGCAGAAGAAGCACCGGCUAACUCCGUGCCAGCAGCCGCGGUAAUACGGAGGGUGCAAGCGUUAAUCGGAAUUACUGGGCGUAAAGCGCACGCAGGCGGUCUGUCAAGUCGGAUGUGAAAUCCCCGGGCUCAACCUGGGAACUGCAUUCGAAACUGGCAGGCUAGAGUCUUGUAGAGGGGGGUAGAAUUCCAGGUGUAGCGGUGAAAUGCGUAGAGAUCUGGAGGAAUACCGGUGGCGAAGGCGGCCCCCUGGACAAAGACUGACGCUCAGGUGCGAAAGCGUGGGGAGCAAACAGGAUUAGAUACCCUGGUAGUCCACGCCGUAAACGAUGUCGAUUUGGAGGUUGUGCCCUUGAGGCGUGGCUUCCGGAGCUAACGCGUUAAAUCGACCGCCUGGGGAGUACGGCCGCAAGGUUAAAACUCAAAUGAAUUGACGGGGGCCCGCACAAGCGGUGGAGCAUGUGGUUUAAUUCGAUGCAACGCGAAGAACCUUACCUGGUCUUGACAUCCACAGAACUUUCCAGAGAUGGAUUGGUGCCUUCGGGAACUGUGAGACAGGUGCUGCAUGGCUGUCGUCAGCUCGUGUUGUGAAAUGUUGGGUUAAGUCCCGCAACGAGCGCAACCCUUAUCCUUUGUUGCCAGCGGUUAGGCCGGGAACUCAAAGGAGACUGCCAGUGAUAAACUGGAGGAAGGUGGGGAUGACGUCAAGUCAUCAUGGCCCUUACGACCAGGGCUACACACGUGCUACAAUGGCAUAUACAAAGAGAAGCGACCUCGCGAGAGCAAGCGGACCUCAUAAAGUAUGUCGUAGUCCGGAUUGGAGUCUGCAACUCGACUCCAUGAAGUCGGAAUCGCUAGUAAUCGUAGAUCAGAAUGCUACGGUGAAUACGUUCCCGGGCCUUGUACACACCGCCCGUCACACCAUGGGAGUGGGUUGCAAAAGAAGUAGGUAGCUUAACCUUCGGGAGGC